This 501-nucleotide ribosomal RNA is filed under the name uncultured Sphingobacteriales bacterium. RNAcentral describes it as "bacterial SSU rRNA". It matches the Rfam family "Bacterial small subunit ribosomal RNA", at positions 903 to 1382 of the family's 1533-position model. Lineage: Bacteria; Pseudomonadati; Bacteroidota; Sphingobacteriia; Sphingobacteriales. The record is from RNAcentral.
CCUUGCCAGCCCGCUCAGAAACUUAAAGGAAUUGACGGGGGCCCGCACAAGCGGUGGAGCAUGUGGUUUAAUUCGAUGAUACGCGAGGAACCUUACCUGGGCUCAAAUGUAUGUUGACGUAUUCUGAAAGGGAUACUUCUUCGGACAAUAUACAAGGUGCUGCAUGGUUGUCGUCAGCUCGUGCCGUGAGGUGUCGGGUUAAGUCCCAUAACGAGCGCAACCCCUAUCAUUAGUUGCCAUCAGGUCAAGCUGGGGACUCUAAUGAAACUGCCUACGCAAGUAGUGAGGAAGGUGGGGAUGACGUCAAAUCAGCACGGCCCUUACGUCCAGGGCUACACACGUGCUACAAUGGCCGGUACAAAGGGCAGCUACCUGGUGACAGGAUGCUAAUCUCAAAAGCCGGUCUCAGUUCGGAUCGGAGUCUGCAACCCGACUCCGUGAAGUUGGAUUCGCUAGUAAUCGCGCAUCAGCCAUGGCGCGGUGAAUACGUUCCCGGGCCUU